RNAcentral lists this unclassified non-coding RNA (421 nucleotides) under soil metagenome. Its description in RNAcentral is "partial contains 5.8S ribosomal RNA, internal transcribed spacer 2, and large subunit ribosomal RNA". The stretch from base 1 to 120 matches the Rfam family "5.8S ribosomal RNA", at positions 35 to 154 of the family's 154-position model. The record is from RNAcentral.
GAUGAAGAACGUAGCGAAAUGCGAUACGUAAUGUGAAUUGCAGAAUUCAGUGAAUCAUCGAAUCUUUGAACGCAUAUUGCGCUCUUUGGUAUUCCGAAGAGCAUGCUUGUUUGAGUAUCAGUAAACACCUCAACCUCUUCUUGAUUUUUCAAAAGGAGGGCGGACUUGAGCUAUCCCAACAACCUUUACCGGUCGGCGGGCGGCUUGAAAUGCAGGUGCAGCUGGACUUUUAUCUGAGCUAAAAGCAUAUCUAUUUAGUCCUCGUCAAACAGGAUUAUUACUUUUGCUGCAGCUAACAUAAAGGAUAAUUGUCCUCUUUGCUGACUGAUGCAGGAUUUUACGACACUUUAUGUGUUGUUCAACUCGAUCUCAAAUCAAGUAAGACUACCCGCUGAACUUAAGCAUAUCAAUAAGCGGAGGA